Molecule: ribosomal RNA, 465 nt
Filed under: Vreelandella stevensii
Lineage: Bacteria; Pseudomonadati; Pseudomonadota; Gammaproteobacteria; Oceanospirillales; Halomonadaceae
Description: partial 16S ribosomal RNA
Rfam family: Bacterial small subunit ribosomal RNA
Source: RNAcentral
CCUACGGGGGGCUGCAGUGGGGAAUAUUGGACAAUGGGGGGAACCCUGAUCCAGCCAUGCCGCGUGUGUGAAGAAGGCCCUCGGGUUGUAAAGCACUUUCAGUGAGGAAGAACGCCUGGUGGUUAAUACCCAUCAGGAAAGACAUCACUCACAGAAGAAGCACCGGCUAACUCCGUGCCAGCAGCCGCGGUAAUACGGAGGGUGCGAGCGUUAAUCGGAAUUACUGGGCGUAAAGCGCGCGUAGGUGGCUUGAUAAGCCGGUUGUGAAAGCCCCGGGCUCAACCCGGGAACGGCAUCCGGAACUGUCAAGCUAGAGUGCAGGAGAGGAAGGUAGAAUUCCCGGUGUAGCGGUGAAAUGCGUAGAGAUCGGGAGGAAUACCAGUGGCGAAGGCGGCCUUCUGGACUGACACUGACACUGAGGUGCGAAAGCGUGGGUAGCAAACAGGAUUAGAUACCCCUGUAGUC